This 252-nucleotide ribosomal RNA is filed under the name uncultured bacterium. RNAcentral's name for it is "partial 16S ribosomal RNA". It matches the Rfam family "Bacterial small subunit ribosomal RNA", at positions 524 to 776 of the family's 1533-position model. The record is from RNAcentral.
UACGGGGGGGGCAAGCGUUGUUCGGAAUUACUGGGCGUAAAGGGCUCGUAGGCGGCCAACUAAGUCAGACGUGAAAUCCCUCGGCUUAACCGGGAACUGCGUCUGAUACUGGAUGGCUUGAGAUUGGGAGAGGGAUGCGGAAUUCCAGGUGUAGCGGUGAAAUGCGUAGAUAUCUGGAGGAACACCGGUGGCGAAGGCGGCAUCCUGGACCAACACUGACGCUGAGGAGCGAAAGUGCGGGGAGCGAACAGG